This 72-nucleotide non-coding RNA is filed under the name unclassified sequences. RNAcentral's name for it is "RAGATH-18 RNA". It matches the Rfam family "RAGATH-18 RNA". From Rfam's summary of the family: Actinobacteria, Firmicutes, Fusobacteria, Thermotogae (1 example). The record is from Rfam by way of RNAcentral.
ACUGUGGAGUGUAGAAGACCUGUGAGUAGAGAUAACCUUGGUUACUCAAAAACAUACACGUUGAAACAGUAA